Molecule: ribosomal RNA, 301 nt
Filed under: uncultured bacterium
Lineage: Bacteria
Description: partial 16S ribosomal RNA
Rfam family: Bacterial small subunit ribosomal RNA
Source: RNAcentral
CAGUCGCCACGGUAAUACGAAGGGGGCUAGCGUUGUUCGGAUUUACUGGGCGUAAAGGGCUCGCAGGCGGUUUCUUAAGUCUGAUGUGAAAGCCCCCGGCUCAACCGGGGAGGGUCAUUGGAAACUGGGAAACUUGAGUGCAGAAGAGGAGAGUGGAAUUCCACGUGUAGCGGUGAAAUGCGUAGAGAUGUGGAGGAACACCAGUGGCGAAGGCGACUCUCUGGUCUGUAACUGACGCUGAGGAGCGAAAGCGUGGGGAGCGAACAGGAUUAGAUACCCGAGUAGUUCCUGUCUCUUAUAC